AAGUCGUAACAAGGUUUCCGUAGGUGAACCUGCGGAAGGAUCAUUAUUGAAUUUUUUGGUGGUGGAUUGCUGCUGGCCUUUGGGUAUGUGCACAUCCUCCUCUGAUUCUAUUCAUCCACCUGUGCACUUUUUGUAGGAGUUCUUUCAUCGGGUAUUUAACAGGUGCUCAUUACGAGUUAACUUGGGAAAGACUAGUUGAAAAGACUUCUAUGUUCUUAUAAACUAUUGAAGUAUGUUAUAGAAUGAUUCUGUUAUUGGGACUUUAUUGACCCUUUAAACUUAAUACAACUUUCAGCAACGGAUCUCUUGGCUCUC
RNAcentral lists this unclassified non-coding RNA (315 nucleotides) under air metagenome. RNAcentral's name for it is "partial contains small subunit ribosomal RNA, internal transcribed spacer 1, and 5.8S ribosomal RNA". The stretch from base 1 to 46 matches the Rfam family "Eukaryotic small subunit ribosomal RNA", at positions 1786 to 1831 of the family's 1831-position model. The record is from RNAcentral.